This 71-nucleotide transfer RNA is filed under the name Mycopsylla gardenensis. RNAcentral describes it as "tRNA-Ser". The record is from RNAcentral. Lineage: Eukaryota; Metazoa; Arthropoda; Insecta; Hemiptera; Carsidaridae.
UCUUAUAGUAAAAUAAUUUAAAAUAAAAUAUUUACCUUGAAAGUAAAAAAUGUAAUAUUUUCUUUUACUUU